Molecule: ribosomal RNA, 489 nt
Filed under: Streptococcus parasanguinis
Lineage: Bacteria; Bacillati; Bacillota; Bacilli; Lactobacillales; Streptococcaceae
Description: bacterial SSU rRNA
Rfam family: Bacterial small subunit ribosomal RNA
Source: RNAcentral
GAUGAACGCUGGCGGCGUGCCUAAUACAUGCAAGUAGAACGCUGAAGCUUGGUGCUUGCACCGAGUGGAUGAGUUGCGAACGGGUGAGUAACGCGUAGGUAACCUGCCUCUUAGCGGGGGAUAACUAUUGGAAACGAUAGCUAAUACCGCAUAAAAGUCGACAUCGCAUGAUGUUGACUUGAAAGGUGCAAUUGCAUCACUAAGAGAUGGACCUGCGUUGUAUUAGCUAGUUGGUGAGGUAACGGCUCACCAAGGCGACGAUACAUAGCCGACCUGAGAGGGUGAUCGGCCACACUGGGACUGAGACACGGCCCAGACUCCUACGGGAGGCAGCAGUAGGGAAUCUUCGGCAAUGGGGGCAACCCUGACCGAGCAACGCCGCGUGAGUGAAGAAGGUUUUCGGAUCGUAAAGCUCUGUUGUAAGAGAAGAACGAGUGUGAGAGUGGAAAGUUCACACUGUGACGGUAACUUACCAGAAAGGGACGGCUA